AAGAACAGUGCAUCAACAGUGCUCAAGGGACCUAUUGUGGAAGCCUUGGAGAAUGAUGCAAAAUUGGGUCUGUGGACAGAUUUUAAUUGAUGUGGUGGAUGGGGAAGAGAGAGGGGCCAUGUUCGGACAUAACGCCAAACCAGAGCAGCCUGACACACAGAAAUUAAGCAGCUGGCACCUUUCCUGGCACAGUGACAGCCCAAGACCACUUUGUAUCUGAGGUACAUCAUCAAACACUGCUGCUCCCAACUCCAUUUUUUCGAGCAGCAGCAGAGAUUGCCAAUAGCAAAUAAGGGAGAAGGCAGCGUGAAGAGGAGGAGUCAAUCAAGAGGCGAGGACUUUCCUGAGCCAAUAGAGGAGCAGCAGUGGAGGGCAGAGCCUAUUGUCUGCUCCUGCCAUGGCAAGCCACAAGCACCAGGUCUGCUGCAGAGUGAGCGGAGGAAGGCAGGGGCGUAGCAAGCUUCCCUGGGGCCUGGGGACAAAGAUCAAGAAGGGGGCCCCUAUCACGCACACAAAGUGCCCCAGUGCCCCAAGCCACACCCCCUGUGUCUGGUGUCAGAUGCAAGGGAGCGGGGCAACGUGCUUGUCUCUUCCUCCUCUCCACUGCAAUGUCCAGAGAUGGCAAAUCCAAGGGUGCUUUACAAAACAGCACUUCCAUUCAGAAAGGAGGAGGGAAACGCAGCCCUUACCAAGCCCUGCACAGCUGACGGUGGAUCUGCCACUUUGUGUCCUCCAAACAGAAAGAGCUGCACCAGCUUCUGGUGGCCCCUGCACCUCGCCACUGCAGAAGAGAAAUGGAGUGGGUGCAUGUGCGCGUUCCCUGGGCUCUAAUUGUUCAGCUCUAAUGUGAGAAAUAUUGGCAGGGGAGUGGGCAGCAGUGGCAGCUCCCCAGAUCACUGGGAGGCCGCCCAGGAAGCAGGAGGCCUCUGUCUGUGAGGCCCUUGUGGGCCCCCUGACCCUCCGGACCCAGGAUAUUUGCCUUCCCUUGUCCAGUGGACCCUAUGCUUAUGGUGGAAGGGCCAGCACAGACAUUCGAACCAGUGAGGAAAAAGUUGGGAGAAAUCAUGAAUAUCUUGUACAUACUUGCCAAAACAUGGCACUCGCUUGCACUGAAGUAUUUAAAGCUGUAUGAAAUUUAAA
Long non-coding RNA from Hemicordylus capensis (graceful crag lizard), 1140 nucleotides. RefSeq lists it as uncharacterized. The record is from RefSeq and is a predicted model, not a curated record. NCBI's taxonomy places the organism in Eukaryota, Metazoa, Chordata, Lepidosauria, Squamata, Cordylidae. The transcript has 3 exons.